GCACCAUUAGCUCAGCUGGUAGAGCAGCGGACUCUUAAUCCGGAGGUCCAGGGUUCGAACCCCUGAUGGUGCA
Molecule: transfer RNA, 73 nt
Filed under: Clostridiales bacterium GWE2_32_10
Lineage: Bacteria; Bacillati; Bacillota; Clostridia; Eubacteriales
Also listed under: 1 other name
Description: tRNA-Lys
Rfam family: tRNA
About the family: Transfer RNA (tRNA) molecules are approximately 80 nucleotides in length. Their secondary structure includes four short double-helical elements and three loops (D, anti-codon, and T loops).
Source: RNAcentral